Molecule: non-coding RNA, 189 nt
Filed under: Paenibacillus sp.
Lineage: Bacteria; Bacillati; Bacillota; Bacilli; Caryophanales; Paenibacillaceae
Also listed under: 1 other name
Source: RNAcentral
UAUAUAAGAAGCGAACAAGGUGCCCUUGCAGCAGCAAGGGGUAACAGGGAAUCGGGUGCAACUCCCGAGCGGUCCCGCCACUGUAAGAAAGAGUCAUGCUCCAGUAUGUCACUCGGAUCUUCUCCGGGGAAGACGGAGCAGGGCGUUAGUAUUUCGAGCCAGGAGACCUACCUUGCAAGCGCACACCAC